UUCAAUUCUUUGACUUAAUAAUAAUCACAGAUUCAUUGCAAGACUCAUUUUGGAGGCUAAUGAUUUUGGCCUUGCUUGCUCAAUGUUAAAGAUAUUGGCUGUUUUGUCAGGGGUUAUCCAAGUCUUGGCUUAUGGACCUAUGUUGCAGCCUAAUUGUCAUGACCUUCAAAGUGUUUGAGAUUGCGGCAGCAAGAGCUUAAAAAUAUUGACUCAGUUAGUGAUUGUUAAAAUAAAUUGUUACUGUGAUUUUUCUAUUUUGUCUUUUUCCUGCAGGAGGGAUGGAGAAUUUUUCCGAUUAAAUGAUUUUGUGUUAUGUUUAUCUGCCAACAUUCUGUAUAAUUGAGGGUGCACUUUCUUCGGGAUUUUGUAUUUUCUUCUUUUUGAUUUCCAUUAUCAUACAACAUCCCAUACGCCACGAACCAAAAUUUGUAGUAUUUUUCACUCCUUAUGCACUCUAGGGAAAGCUGAAACUGACAUCUAUGUCACUAUUUCUCUUCACAUUCUUUUUUAUAAUUCCUAGAAAUUAAUUAGAAGGGUUUUACUUUUAUCAAAAACUUUUGAUAACUUAUAAAGACUAUUUUAGGUUCUGAAAAAACUAGCACUUUUAGUACUUACUCUGUCUUCUAGGCACACACAUAUAUGCUAUGUGUAUUUGUUCCCCUCACAAUAUGUUUGGUAAAUAAUGAUCGUUUAGUAAAUAAUUGAUCCUUUUUUCCCUCAAAAUACUCUUAAGAACCCUUGAGUUAAACUAUUUUUUGCCCCAAAUGAGUUCAUCCAAACAUGUGUUAGUUCCAAGAAUAAGUCUUGUCAUAUUUACAGUGUUUGAUAACUCCUUGUACAUUGAUGUAGUUGAGGCUACUUCAUGUUAACACAAAUAUAUUUUGAAAAUGUAAGUGCUUUUCUAUAAUAAUAUUGCAUACUUAUGAAUGUUCCAUAGUUUGUGUAUGCAUGAUCAUAGAGAUAAUAUCCCGUGAUUCAAUUGUCAGGUUUAUUAAAUUAAUAGUUGUAUCAUACAAAAAAGUAUUAAAUGACGUGUGUAUUUUGUAUUAUUACUACUACCUCUAUUCCUUUAUAUGAGAAACAAAUAACUGAUUUGAAUUCGAGGAAAAUAGUUAAGUUAGUUAAUUUUAUUAACAAUGCUACAAACUAAAAUAAUUUCCGAAACACCCAUAGAUGUAAAUAGUGUAAGUAUUAGUUAUAUUAUAUAUGUUGACAUACUCGUAAUUCAAAGGAUAGUUUUUCCCACCAACUACUGUGACUUAUAUAGUUAAUAGUCCAAUGCAUGCAUCCACCUUUAUGAGAAAUGAAUUAAUAUCUCAUCAAUAGAAUUCACAAUAAAUUAAGUAUAUAAAAGAAAGUUAUCAAUCAAUAUAUUUUAGAAUAGUUGUAUAUUUUCUGUAAUUAGGGCCAGAAAAGGACACCCCUUUGUUUCUUGUAUAAAGGACCUUAUGUAAUAUCACAUUUCAAUGCAUAAUAUGUUUUUUGACCUCUUUAACCCCUUUGUCAGUAUACAGAUGAAGAGAUUGAUCGCUGCUUUGAAGAAUUUUAUGAGGAUGUCCACACAGAAUUCUUGAAGUUUGGGGAAAUUGUGAACUUCAAGGUUCUUUUUUACUGCUGUGUGUGUAUAAGUUUAACUUCUGAAAUUUUGAAAAUAUAUUUCUCAUUUCAGUUUGGCAUUUAGUUCAUACUAACAUGUUAAUGCAAUUUUCAAUAUCUUGGAAUAAAAUUUUAUGGGUUCUCUGUAAUAUCACGAACGCUAAUCAAGUAUGAUUUAUAUCUAGUUACACAGAGACAUCAAAAUAAAUAAAAUGGAGCCAUUUUUAUAUCUAUUUGUCUUGUUUUGUCAUUGUUUUUGACCCCUCCUCAUAUGUGUGUGUGUUUAUAUCCAACAUUUUGAAAAAAAAUUCUGUGUUUUUUGAAAACAUAGUUAUCAAUAGAAUGAUAUAGUGGAAUAGUGUUGCAGAUACGCUCUUGGUCACUAUGAAACUUAAAUAUCAUCACAAUUUUAAAUAGUGGUUGUGAUAAAUGGUGAAAUUGGGGCAUGUUAUGAGUGGUGCUAAGGCAUUGCAAGAACCUUAAGUGAGCCUUGUAAAUGUCACCUAUGGCUUUUCAGGGGUGAUGGUAUUCACCUCUCUUUCAUUGAAUUGGAGAUUUUAACUUUAAAUGAAAGCCUAAUUUUCCCACUGACUUGAGCACAUUCAUUCUCACCAACACCCAUCUUUAUCUAGCAACAUUUUGCAGCUAUGCCCGACCUUUGUCAGUGUGGCCCUGUUCUGUAUUUUCUGCCCAUUCAUGUUCCCACUAUAACUACAAGGGUUAGCCAUCAGCCAUUUUUUGGCCAAGAAAACCCAAACCAAAAUAACCCAAGGACACAGUAUUUUUCUUGUCUUUGUUAGAAUGAGUAUUAAAUUUGGGUAGAAAGUAGUUGUGUUGGGAAUUACUAUCUAUUGUACCUAUGAGUUGUACCUAGGUUUCUAGUUCAGCCUUUUGAUCUUUCAUCUUCUCAUUGUAUCAGUUUUUUAUCAUUAUAAGUAUGAGAUCAUAAGUGGGGUCUUUGAAGCCCUCUAGAAUAUAUUUUCUCUCUUAUUAAUCUUAAGUUGGUAUUAGAGCUAGUAAAUCUCGCUCUUGGUCUGAGUCUUCUUCUAUGUCUAUUGCCACAAUUUUCUUCAGGAGCCAUUGGAACUAGAGUGUCUCCCUAAGCAAUGAACAACCUCAUCAGUCCCUGAGCCUAUCUCUACUCCAUGCGCCUCCACACAUGCACUUUCUCCUCGCUACUAUUGGGCAUGUGAGGUACAAGUGCCGCCUUCCUCUCACCAGAGCAACGUCGAGACUCCUAGUUCGGGCAUAACGGACCUCCCCAGUGUCGUUUUAGUCCUUGGUCGUCUUUUUUUUUUCUGAUGUGGUUAACGGGUUUGCUUAGUGGCUAAUUCUAUGUCCCUGUUAGUUUCCUCCAACUUUGACUGAAAUGUCUACUGGAACUACUAUUUCCUCUGGAAUUCCUUCCAUUACCCCUGGGAAACUAAAUGGGAAAAAGUAUGUGUUGUGGUUUGCCUUUGUUGAAAUGUGGUUCGUUGGCCAAGGUCACCAUGACUACCUUGAACCAGAUGGAAGUAAUGUGCCUUUUGAGCAAGUUGAACCGUGAAAGUGAAUUGAAUUCAGUUGUGUGUUACUGUGAUAGUCUGCAGAACCUUAAUUAUUGGGUACUCUUAGAUCUUUUAAAACUUGCAACUCUUUUUG
This is a non-coding RNA of Vigna umbellata (rice bean), 3237 nucleotides long. Lineage: Eukaryota; Viridiplantae; Streptophyta; Magnoliopsida; Fabales; Fabaceae. The record is from RefSeq and is a predicted model, not a curated record.